UCUUUGUUUUUUCCUAUAUAUAAACAUAAAUAGGUAAUGAGCACUUUCUACUCAAGCAAUAAAAAGUCCCAAAAUAUUACUCCCUGCGUCCAGUGAAGUGGCAUAAAAAUCACAUGGAAGGAGGGACCUGGAAGACACGGGGGACACACUGACACCUCUCAGAGUAUCUGCAGAAGCAUCGAAACAACAAUUUCCAAUGACUCUAAGAGAAGACAUCACCUUCUAAUGCAAGGUAAUGGCAGCAAACCUGGGUCUGUGUUAGGCCUUGGAAUUACGUGAGGAGUUAGUUGGUUUGAACACCAAAAAUAGAAAGUUUAGA
RNAcentral lists this long non-coding RNA (319 nucleotides) under Struthio camelus australis. Its description in RNAcentral is "lncRNA (ENSSCUG00000018264.1)". The record is from RNAcentral. Lineage: Eukaryota; Metazoa; Chordata; Aves; Struthioniformes; Struthionidae.